This 253-nucleotide ribosomal RNA is filed under the name uncultured bacterium. RNAcentral's name for it is "partial 16S ribosomal RNA". It matches the Rfam family "Bacterial small subunit ribosomal RNA", at positions 524 to 776 of the family's 1533-position model. The record is from RNAcentral.
GACGAACCGAGCGAACGUUAUUCGGAAUCACUGGGCUUAAAGGGCGCGUAGGCGGACGAUCAAGUCAGGGGUGAAAGCCCCCGGCUCAACCGGGGAAGUGCCUCUGAUACUGGUCGUCUCGAGGGAGGUAGGGGCGUGCGGAACUUCCGGUGGAGCGGUGAAAUGCGUAGAUAUCGGAAGGAACACCGGUGGCGAAAGCGGCGCGCUGGACCUCUUCUGACGCUGAGGCGCGAAAGCCAGGGGAGCGAACGGG